This 301-nucleotide ribosomal RNA is filed under the name uncultured bacterium. RNAcentral describes it as "partial 16S ribosomal RNA". It matches the Rfam family "Bacterial small subunit ribosomal RNA", at positions 509 to 807 of the family's 1533-position model. The record is from RNAcentral.
CAGUCGCCGCGGUAAUACGUAGGUGGCAAGCGUUAUCCGGAAUUAUUGGGCGUAAAGCGCGCGUAGGCGGUUUUUUAAGUCUGAUGUGAAAGCCCACGGCUCAACCGUGGAGGGUCAUUGGAAACUGGAAAACUUGAGUGCAGAAGAGGAAAGUGGAAUUCCAUGUGUAGCGGUGAAAUGCGCAGAGAUAUGGAGGAACACCAGUGGCGAAGGCGACUCUCUGGCUUGUAACUGACGCUGAGGCUCGAAAGCGUGGGGAGCAAACAGGAUUAGAUACCCGAGUAGUCCCUGUCUCUUAUAC